Molecule: ribosomal RNA, 464 nt
Filed under: uncultured bacterium
Lineage: Bacteria
Description: partial 16S ribosomal RNA
Rfam family: Bacterial small subunit ribosomal RNA
Source: RNAcentral
CUACGGGUUGCUGCAGUGAGGAAUUUUGCGCAAUGGGGGAAACCCUGACGCAGCAACGCCGCGUGAGCGAAGAAGGCCCUCGGGUCGUAAAGCUCUGUCAAGUGGGAAAAAAAUUUUUUGAUCAAUAGUCAAAAGACUUGAUGGUACCACUGGAGGAAGCACCGGCUAACUCCGUGCCAGCAGCCGCGGUAAUACGGAGGGUGCAAGCGUUGUUCGGAUUUACUGGGCGUAAAGAGCGUGUAGGCGGUUUAGCAAGUCAGAUGUGAAAGCCCUGGGCUCAACCCGGGAAGUGCAUUUGAAACUGCUUCACUAGAGUAUGGGAGAGGAGAUUGGAAUUCCUGGUGUAGAGGUGAAAUUCGUAGAUAUCAGGAGGAACACCCGUGGCGAAGGCGAUUCUCUGGACCAAUACUGACGCUAAGGCGUGAAAGCGUGGGGAGCAAACAGGAUUAGAUACCCGCGUAGUC